Molecule: transfer RNA, 76 nt
Filed under: Moraxellaceae bacterium
Lineage: Bacteria; Pseudomonadati; Pseudomonadota; Gammaproteobacteria; Moraxellales; Moraxellaceae
Also listed under: 2 other names
Description: tRNA-His
Rfam family: tRNA
About the family: Transfer RNA (tRNA) molecules are approximately 80 nucleotides in length. Their secondary structure includes four short double-helical elements and three loops (D, anti-codon, and T loops).
Source: RNAcentral
GCGGCCAUAGCUCAGUUGGUAGAGCACUGGAUUGUGAUUCCGGUUGUCGCGGGUUCGAGCCCCGUUGGUCGCCCCA